RNAcentral lists this ribosomal RNA (253 nucleotides) under uncultured bacterium. RNAcentral's name for it is "partial 16S ribosomal RNA". It matches the Rfam family "Bacterial small subunit ribosomal RNA", at positions 335 to 605 of the family's 1533-position model. The record is from RNAcentral.
UGGCCUACGGGGCGCAGCAGUAGGGAAUCUUCCACAAUGGACGAAAGUCUGAUGGAGCAACGCCGCGUGAAGGAAGAAGUAUCUCGGUAUGUAAACUUCUAUCAGCAGGGAAGAAAAUGACGGUACCUGACUAAGAAGCUCCGGCUAAAUACGUGCCAGCAGCCGCGGUAAUACGUAUGGAGCAAGCGUUAUCCGGAUUUACUGGGUGUAAAGGGAGCGCAGGCGGCAUGGCAAGUCAGAUGUGAAAGCCCGG